UACAGAGGUCUCAAGCGUUGUUCGGAUUCAUUGGGCGUAAAGGGUGCGUAGGUGGCGCCGUCAGUGGGGUGUGAAAUUUCGGAGCUUAACUCCGAAACUGCAUUCCAUACUGCGGUGCUUGAGGACUGGAGAGGAGACUGGAAUUUACGGUGUAGCAGUGAAAUGCGUAGAGAUCGUAAGGAAGACCAGUGGCGAAGGCGGGUCUCUGGACAGUUCCUGACGCUGAGGCACGAAAGCUAGGGGAGCAAACAGG
This 253-nucleotide ribosomal RNA is filed under the name uncultured bacterium. RNAcentral's name for it is "partial 16S ribosomal RNA". It matches the Rfam family "Bacterial small subunit ribosomal RNA", at positions 524 to 776 of the family's 1533-position model. The record is from RNAcentral.